Molecule: long non-coding RNA, 1534 nt
Organism: Mauremys reevesii (Reeves's turtle)
Lineage: Eukaryota; Metazoa; Chordata; Testudines; Geoemydidae
Exons: 4
Source: RefSeq, a predicted model, not a curated record
CAGGGUGAACAGUGGCAGUGAGUUGCAAGCAGCAGCAGAGACAGUGGGCAGAGGCAGAAAAAGAGGCAUUGUUCGCUCCUCCUCUCCUUUUCAGGCAUGGCAGGUGAACGCACCCCUGAAUUCUGAGACUUUGAUGACUUUGGACAAUCAACUGGCCUGGUCCAAUACCCACUGAGAUUCCCAGAGGAAAGGCUCUAAAUCUCCUCUGUACCACCAUGAAUUUAAUGUGACAAUUACACAGAAUGUAAGAUGUGAGACAAACCACCAAAUAUUGAAAGCUUCUCCUAUGAAAGAUGUUUUACUGCAAUACUACUCAUGAUCCAGGCUGGAUUCAAACUACAUCCCUUGAGAUAUAAUGUUCCCCAGGAGAGAUACUUCUGAGAAAGAGGACACCACAGUGCAGCAGUUGCCAUGUGUUAUGAGCCUAUUCAUGAGAAAAUGGGGAAAUGUGAAAUAGUUGUUUCAAUCCUGACCCACCUCUAGCGUCCCAUCUGAAAAUAAGUGUGCUUUAAAAAUAGCCCUGGUGCUCACACUGUGAGCACUUCUCUUUAGCUGUACACUAUUAUGCAUUAUGCUGUGCAAAAGAUGAUUAAAGCAAAAGUAGCAAGUAUCUCCACACUUUUGUGCACUAGCAAGGACAUGAAGCAACCACAUCUAGGGUAGCUUAGUCUCCAUAUUUACAUUCAUUCACUCUUUGGUCUCUGAGACUGCCUCCAAGAACUCACUCAAGUAGCCAAAAAGAAGAUGCAAUGUUAUUGGCAACAAACUAAUUAGAAGAGUUUAGAUAUGUGCUGCUGUAGCAGUAGCUGUCAAACCCCAGUCUGGCCUGCCUACCAAGAGUUACAGUGCCUUUCUACCUACUUUGCCUCUGACCCUCACUUUGUAUUUAACACCCCCCUCCAAAAAAAAGAAGGGAGCUGUCAGGUCAUUUAUAGCACAAAGAGGACUCUAUUUAAAAAAUCCUUUAAAACAACACUAGAAGGGGUUGUCCCUGAGAGUCCUACCGAUGCCCCGAGAGCACCCUAGUGAGCUUCCUCUCAAAUAUUAUCUCACAGUGGGAGCCAUGCCAGCUGUGAAAAGGAUAUUUCUUCAGCUGCUGUGGGACAGCUACGGCUCAGGCCUCCCUUACUCUGUUGACUGCAAAACUGCCCUGGGACAUCUCGCUUUUCUGCUUGGGUGGCCCCUCCCUGAAGCCAAGCAGGGAAAGAAGAGAGCCACAUGCAGAGUUCACCUUGCUACCCUUUUUCUUUCCAGACUGUUUUCCAAUUCUGGGGAUUACGGGGAAAAAUCCCCUUGUCCAGGAAGGGAAAGGAGGUGCGAUGUGGGUAAUGAGGCCAUCCCAAAUUCAUGCCAAUAAAACCUUCAUACUUCACUCUUGUGUUUUCCUUUUCUCAGGUUGCUCCCUUCCCACCAGUGGGGUGAUGUCCAAAUCACUCAUUAAUCUAUUACAUGGUUUCCAAUUUGACAUGCACCUUUGAUCACUUUGAAUCCCUAUUUCUGCCCUAUAAAUUCCAUUAGCAACAGAAAUUGCUCU